GUUCGAUCAGGCACUGGUAGGGGAGUCGCGACUAGACGCGUUACUGUGGUUCACAUUUUGAGUGCUUGCAAGGAAUCCGUCACUGGCGGUGGUGAAUAGGAACAUGGCAGCCCUAGCGUUUUGGUUUAAGUUGCAUGGGUGGGACAACCUCACAAAGAAUUUCGUGAUUCACCAGGCGCUUAAGGGGUACUGAAAGGGUCGCCAGGUGCCCAAUGCUCGUAGGACGGUGU
Pelobates cultripes (western spadefoot toad) is the source of this 230-nucleotide non-coding RNA. Lineage: Eukaryota; Metazoa; Chordata; Amphibia; Anura; Pelobatidae. The record is from the annotation of a GenBank genome assembly.